RNAcentral lists this small nuclear RNA (18 nucleotides) under Arabidopsis thaliana (thale cress). Its description in RNAcentral is "snRNA_03490". The record is from RNAcentral. Lineage: Eukaryota; Viridiplantae; Streptophyta; Magnoliopsida; Brassicales; Brassicaceae.
CUAGUACGAGAGGAACCG